GCACGAGUGCCAGAGGAUAUGGGUUGGUUUUAAGCAUCAAAUAUGAGGGUUUCCUUCUCGUGUG
This 64-nucleotide transfer RNA is filed under the name Brachycladium goliath. RNAcentral describes it as "tRNA-Leu". The record is from RNAcentral. Lineage: Eukaryota; Metazoa; Platyhelminthes; Trematoda; Plagiorchiida; Brachycladiidae.